Molecule: long non-coding RNA, 3660 nt
Filed under: Lactuca sativa (garden lettuce)
Lineage: Eukaryota; Viridiplantae; Streptophyta; Magnoliopsida; Asterales; Asteraceae
Description: long non-coding RNA (LSAT_LNC008539)
Source: RNAcentral
GGGAAGCCAAUUUUGACAGCCUAUGACAGUUCAAAUCCAUGGUGGACUCUAAUUGAAGAAGCCAUAGUUAAAGCCAAGGGCAAAAUUGGAAAACCAGAGAUAUUUCCUGCUUCAACCGAUGCUCGAUACUUCAGGAUGAAGGGUGUUCAUGCAAUUGGGUUUUCUCCCAUGGCAAACACUCCUAUCCUUCUCCAUGAUCAUAAUGAGGUGAACAUUAUCUUUUACAAUCUUUUGGACAAAUUUUCCGACUCACUAUUCAAUAAUCUUAUGAAUUUGUGUUUUUGUUGUUGAUGCAGUUUUUGAACAAGGAAGAAUACUUGAAAGGGAUUGAGGUGUAUGAGUCGAUUCUCAAAGCUUUUGCAUCUUUUGUUGAAGCUAAAAAUGGGGAAGAUUCUUUGGGAGAUGAGUUAUAAAAACGGAUGUAGAUUUGUAGGCAAUUAAACCCUCUAGUGCAUUUACUACAUGCUUUUGGUGUCUUGAAGUGAAGAUUUCCUAUAAUUAGAAACUCAAUUGAGCCAUUUUACUCGGUGAAACUCAAUCACAAAUAUUUUUGGCCUAUUGCAUACUACAUAAUUUUUUGCUUGAAGAAGAUCGUGAUAUAGAACUUGAAGAAGUGACAUGUGAGGUGUUAAAUACAUGGACGAGAGAGGGGAACAAAUAAGAUUCAUUCAAUAUCAAACAAAAUGUAGAGUGAAUAUUUAAUACGUCUAUUUAGCUUAUUACACAUGUUUCGUACUAUUUGACUUUGAAACUUCAUUAAUGUUCAAUGUUUAAUGUUUCAUUAUUGUCAAGAUUUAAGUAAUGUUUAUGUUAUCGUCUUUUCUUUUUUCAACGAGUUCAAUUGGUAAUACAAAAAAUAACAUAGCUAAACAAAGAUGGUCCAAUAAACCAAGUGUUGUUGUAAGUGUGUUUUAAUUAAUACAAAAAAUUAAGGGCAAAAACAUAAGUGUGGAUUUUCUAAUUUUUCUUCCAACUCAAGAACAUGAUUCCCCUUCCAUUCCAUUAUAUUCCCCUCAAACUCAAGAACAUUAGUAACUAAUAUUUCCCUUCCAUUGAAUACCCUAUCCUCUUUUACCCUUCCUAAAAAAAAAAAAAAACUCAAGAACAUGGUGUAAAAAAAUUCAAAAACUUAUUUUACUGGUUUAACCUAUGUUUUAGUCCAAUUCUAAAAUAAAUCUAGUACUUUUAAAGUAAUAUAUAACGUUUAUAUAUAAAUUUAAGAAAGAAAAAAUGGUGAAAAUGUGAGUUUCCUAACAGUUUUUCGAGCUGUAAAACAUGAUAGAGUUUUGAAUUAUUUUUUGAGAUACACGCAUUUAAAUACCAGGAACUAUAGUCUUUGGUAUUUUGGGAUUAGCAAGUCGUAAUUGACCAUUGCAAGAUUAUUAUUUGUCAUUUUAAUGAUAUCUUAAAGAAAAUAUCAAUUUAAUUGUAGAUUUUUGUAGAUUAUCUCUUUAAUAAUAUGUAUGAUAAAGAUUCGAUGCCCAAAAACAAAAACAAACCCGGAACCUAGUUCUGUGAAACGGCUUUUUAUAGAAUUUACCAGAUGAGAAGAACCAGGCAUCAAAAUCACGAUGAGCUUCAAUGGUCUCUUUUACUUCAUCGCCGUCGCCCUUCUGCUACUAACCACAUCCACCAUCGCCAACGAUUCAAUCCUCUCAAGAUUCCAACAGUACCUUCAAAUCGACACAGCUCACCCAUCACCCAACUACCACAAAGCCGCCGAUUUCAUUAUCUCCCAAGCUAAAUCCCUCUCCCUCGAAUCCCGCACCAUUGAAUUCGUCAAAAACAAGCCUUUAAUCCUUCUAAAAUGGACUGGCAAAAACCCCGAUCUCCCUUCCAUUCUCCUCAACUCCCACACCGAUGUCGUCCCCGUCGAACCCCACAAAUGGUCCCACCCUCCAUUCGAUGCUGCAAUCGAUCAUGAGAACGGAAACAUCUACGCUAGAGGCUCACAGGAUAUGAAGUGCGUCGGGUUGCAGUAUCUGGAAGCAAUUCGGAAGCUCAAGGAUGCGAAAUUCGAGCCUCUUAGGACAAUCUACCUCUCGUUUGUUCCCGAUGAGGAAAUCGGUGGACACGAUGGAGCUGAGAAGUUUGCGAAUUCGGAAAUUUUUGAUGAGAUGAACGUUGGGAUUGUGUUGGAUGAAGGAUUGGCGUCACCGGAGGAUUAUUAUAGGCUGUUCUAUGCAGAGAGGUGUCCGAUGUGGUUGGUGAUAAAAGCUACCGGAGCUCCUGGGCAUGGGGCUAAGCUGUAUGAUAACACUGCGAUGGAGAAUUUGUUGAAGAGUAUCGAGAGUGUGAGAAGAUUCAGAGCAUCUCAGCUUGAUAUGGUGAAGGCUGGCCUCAAGGAGGAAGGCGAGGUUGUCUCUGUGAACAUGGUGUUUCUUAAAGCCGGAACCCCAUCUCCUACUGUAUGUAUAACAUCUAAAUCCAUGAUUCCAUAUCUCUCUUUCUCUCUCGAUUGUAAGAAAUCUAAUUGAAUUGUUUUGUGCAUUAGGGUUUUGUGAUGAAUCUGCAACCAUCUGAAGCACAUGCUGGUUUUGAUAUUCGGGUGCCACCAAUUGCUGAUCAAGCAUCGUUGGAGAGACGAAUUGCAGAAGAAUGGGCCCCAGCUUCACGUAACAUGACAUUUGAGGUAAGAAAUAAACCCUUGUUUCUAUUUUUAUCUUUCAUGCUUUCCAUACUUGCAUCUGUUUUGGAUUCCUUAUAAAGAUUGACUCUUUUCAUUGAUUUAUAUUUAUAGCAUUUUUUUCCCCUAUAUCUUCCUAUUCUAUUUCUAACAUUGUAUUUUGUAAAAUCUUCCUGAUUAUAGCAAUGUUAUGAAAAGGCCAAGUAAUUUGCAUUAGAUAUUUUCAAUAUAAUGUCCAUAUAAGGAAAAAGUUCAAAGUACAAAACUAUAAUUCAUAAGAAUUUUCAGAGUACAAUUACAAUGUCUUAAUAAGAAAAAACAACCAAAGUAGGAUUUCUAUUUAUUGCAUUUAGUUUUUUUAACUAUUUAUCAUCUUAAACAGUAUAAGCAGAAGGUUUCUGUGUAUGGUGCAAAUGGGAAGCCAAUUUUGACAGCCUAUGAUAGUUCAAAUCCAUGGUGGUCUCUAAUUGAAGAAGCCAUAGUUAAAGCCAAGGGCAAAAUUGGAAAACCAGAGAUAUUUCCAGCUUCAACUGAUGCACGAUACUUCAGGAUGAAGGGUGUUCCUGCAAUUGGAUUUUCUCCCAUGGCAAACACUCCUAUCCUUCUUCAUGACCAUAAUGAGGUGAACCUUUUGAACAAAUUUUUUUUGGACAAUUUUGGGCAUCACUAAUCGUAUUAAUUUGUGUUUUUUUGUUGUUGUAGUUUUUGAACAAAGAAGAAUACUUGAAAGGGAUUGAGGUGUAUGAGUCAAUUCUCAAAUCUUUUGCAUCUUUUGUUGAGGGUAAAAAUGGGAAAGAUCCUUUGAGAGAUGAGCUAUAAAAGAUCGGUUGCGUGUGUUAGAAUUGUGUAAAAAUUCAGGCAUAAUUCUAUUUGGAAAAUAAACCAUGAUUCCUAAUGUAUCUUUAAGAAACCUGGAAUGUUUGUAAUUUUAGCACCUUUAUUUUUGCAAUAAAAUCAUGGAGGAUUUUUGCCAAAUAGGAUAGCAUUGUACUUUCAUUGGUUGGUUUAUUAUAGCAUCUUACUCUCAUUUCUUC